UACAGAGGGUGCAAGCGUUAAUCGGAACUACUGGGCGUAAAGCGCGCGUAGGCGGAUAAAUAAGUUGGGUGUGAAAUCCCUGGGCUUAACCUAGGAAUUGCAUUCAAAACUGUUUGUCUAGAGUACAGGAGAGGAGGGCAGAAUUUCCGGUGUAGCGGUGAAAUGCGUAGAUAUCGGAAGGAAUACCAGUGGCGAAGGCGGCCCUCUGGACUGUGACUGACGCUGAGGUGCGAAAGCGUGGGGAGCAAACGGG
RNAcentral lists this ribosomal RNA (253 nucleotides) under uncultured bacterium. RNAcentral's name for it is "partial 16S ribosomal RNA". It matches the Rfam family "Bacterial small subunit ribosomal RNA", at positions 524 to 776 of the family's 1533-position model. The record is from RNAcentral.